Long non-coding RNA from Anguilla rostrata (American eel), 3613 nucleotides. RefSeq lists it as uncharacterized. Lineage: Eukaryota; Metazoa; Chordata; Actinopteri; Anguilliformes; Anguillidae. The transcript has 3 exons. The record is from RefSeq and is a predicted model, not a curated record.
ACCUAGCAGGUAACGUUAUCCGCCUAUAGGGUUAUGAAAAUGGUCACCUGGCCCUCAACAUUAACUGAAAUCCACGUAAUUUUGAUAUCAGUUCAUGUAAAGCUAGCAUUUUAAAGCUACGGCCAUUAAAAAAAAAAACAUGAAAUAUGGAGAAACUAAUCCCUUUUUUUCUAGUUCUCUGUUCUUAAGUUCUCAGAAUUCCUCCCCCUCACUCUGUCCAAGUUAAAAAUAAAGUCUUGGCUCUUUCGUGGGAUUUUGCUUAAGGGGCAAGACAACAUUACAAUGUUCAUCAAAUGUUUUGUUGAAACCGUUUUGGUUGUUCCAUUGCCCGCACACAGUUUGUGUUAGCUUAGCACCAUAAAGUGGAACCAAAUAAUUGAAAACCCUAAACCAGAACCAAUAAGUGUGUAUGUGCCGAGCUUCAGAUAUGUAUUAUUUGUGUGUUUCCGUGCUGUAUUUAUACUAUUAUGUGUUAUGCUGACAUUUUUGAAUUCCUUUUGUUAUUAAAUGUUAAUUUAAAAAAAAAAUUGUAAACAGGAUGGCAAAGGGCAUUUAUUGAUAGUGCAACUGGAUAUGGCUGCUUUGAUAUUACACAGUUAGAUGAUCUAUUACUCGAUUAGCUUCCAAUGACGUCUUGCUUCUUCAGUUAAAUGAAGGAGGAGUGGCAGACAGGGCAGAGUCCAUGCUUAUUUAUGGAUCCUGUAUUUCCUCUUUUUUGCAGUUUUCCUUCUCCAGCCUUCACACUUUGGUCAGAUUAAAGUGUUAAGAUAGUGGAUUGCACAAUGGAGGACUGAAACGCCUGUGGGAUGCCUGGGUGAGCGCGGGCUGGCAUGCCGUCCCUUCACCACCAUUCCCGCCCCAGAUGCAGCGGAGUAACCAGAGCUCUGCAGCAGGUGCCUCGCCCCUGCCGGGAUGGCCAAUGGACCCCUCUGUGGAAAAAAAGGUCAAAGGUCACGCUCACACUGGGCACGGUUGAGUAAGAAAUGAAAAACAUGGCAAGAUGAAGCCCCAGCACAGACAACAGCUGACAAAAUACGUCUCUGUCAGGCGCACCUGCUGCUGUAUGUCAGUUCAGUUUCAUCAUCCCCUCCUCCUGCCCCCAGACGGUUCGGCUCGCACCUUCCGCCACCACAUCUGUGAGGCCGUGUGGCAGCCCACGAGGACACAGGCACAUGAUUCCUGCGGUGUAAUGUUCCCCCUUGUUUGUUUCCCAAAAUAACCCUAGCUCACCUAUAGUCUUUCUGACCUCGACACCCUCACCUUCCACAAGCUGCGGAGCGAAGAUGAAAACAGCCAUUAGCACAGUCUGUUCUGGACUAGAGGCAAUCUGGUUAAGGUUAGCCUAGACUUUGACACCUGGUGGUGACAUUUUAUUCUUCACAAAUAAACGUGGGGUAAUUGAAACAGUGAACAUGGAAAGGGAAUGCUUGGACACUCUACCAGAACUUUCCACUGAGAGCCAUUUGAUAUGCAGCUUAAGUUUCCUGAUGCAUUGAAGAGAAUGAAACACCAACUUAAGUCUCCCUUGAAACUUUUUAAUGACAAACACCAUCUAAUUACUUUGUUUCACAAUCACAGUUUAAAAACAAAGAAUUUAAUUCUGUAAUUCCCAACUUUAUUUCUGGCUUUUCGGAGCUUGAAAAUACUUAAAAUUCCAAAAGUCUGGUAUUUAAAUGUGUCAAUGCUGUAUUUCCACUUCCGGUUCACUUACACACACGCACACACACAUCUGGAACAGAACCAAUAUUCAAAAAUGGAGAUAAAUUUGACCCAAACAAUUACCGAGGCAUCUGUGUGAAAAGUAAUCUGGGGAAGCUUCUUUGUAGUAUCAUAAAUUCUAGACUAUUAACUUUCCUUCAAAAAUACAAUGUCUUGAGUAGAAGUCUGGAUUCUUAUCAAAUCACAACACAACUGAUCAUAUUUACACCCUACACACCCUAAUUGAGAAACAUGUAACCCAAAACCAAAAAAGAAUAUUUGCUUGCUUUGUUGAUUUUAGAAAAGCAUUUGAUUCUAUUUGGCAUUAAGUAUUAUUCUACAAAGUCAUCGAACGUGGUGUAUGGGGUAAAACCUAUGAUCUCGUUAAAUCAAUGGGAACAAAUGCAGUGUAAAAAAUGGCAAAAAAAAAGAGAGAACAAAUUUCUUCUCUCAGGAGUGUGGGGUGAGACAGCGCUGUAACCUAACCCCAACACUAUUCAAUAUCUAUAUUAAUGAAUUGGCAAACAUAUUAGAAAAAUCUGCAGUGCCUGGUCUCACUCUACCCGACUCAGAGAUGAAGUGUCUGUUCUAUGCAGAUGGCCUGGUUCAGAAUAAAUCAAAUUGCAACAAAAUAAUUUUACUUCUUGGGAAUCACAAACAAAAUCACAAAGUAAAAAGAAAUGUCAUCUGGCCCCAAAAAUAAUACACUGUAGCAAACUACCUGACCACAGUUACUGACAAAAAAAUCCAAAAAAACUGAGAACCACCUUAACGAGGUACAGACACAGCAAGCACCACCUAGCCACAGAGACCGGCAGGCACAAGAAAUCAUGGCUGCCAGAAGAAAGAAGAUUGUGCCAACAAUGUAAAGACAAUAAAAUUAAAACAGAGAAACACUUCCUGAUUGAAUGUGCCAAAUUCACCCAAAUUCGCCAAAAAAUUCUACCCCCAAAUUAGCCAAAAAAUGUCUCCGAUUCAACAAUACACCUGGCGCAGAAAAGCUAGGGGAAACAAAGACUGCUGCAUACUAGCAGCACUAUUUUUGUUCUCUUGUCACACUCUGUGAGUGACCCUGUUAUGCAAACAUACACUGUUCUCUGAAACAUGUAUUGCCAGCCAUCCCUUCUUCUCAUUCUGCUGUCCACCAGGUGAGCUGUGCAGCCACUUCCGUGGGCGGAGUCUGUACACUUCAGGUGCGGGUGACCAAUGCAGGCGGACCAAUGGAGAACAGUAAUGUUGAGCAGGGAGGUGUGGGCAGCGCUGCUGCAGACUGAAACCACCCCUCCCUGGGUGAUGCUAUUGGGAAUUGCGUGUUGCCCUGCAGUUCAUCCAUCCACAUUCAGUGGCAGCUGGCAGCUGGCAUGGCCAGGAUUAGAUCCAUGAUGUGGGACACAAUGCUGCACCGGGAUUUACUGCUGUAAUAUUUCUGCAGUAAUAUUUUUCUAAUAAUAUAAUGACUGAUUUCCAUACCACACAGGAUGAAACCGCUGUCUUUAAAUGGGUUUAUUUCUCUAGUAUCUAAUCUUAUCAUUUGGAGACAUAAUUAAAUGCAUGGCACUCCAUGAAGGUUGUGGGGGUGAUAUGGAAUUCCCUCUUGGUUGUUUAAUUUGUCUGCACCUGAUAUAGACUUGUGUCCUCUUUCACAGUUCCUACUGGCAUGUCUGGGCAUGUUGUUUGCACUCCUCCCUAGAAUAUCUAAGUGCUCUGUCAUAAAAAACACAUGACUGAGGCUGAUGAACUUGACCCCAGAGAAUCGGUUAGCCUUAGCUGAGCUGCAGCAGAUGUCACUUAAUUACUACAACAUACAGCAUGAAUAAGCCCAUAACAUCUCUAGAAAAAAAACGGUUGUUUGUAAUGAACACAGAAAAUUACACUUUCUGUGUUGUGUUUUAUUAUACUGUGCAGCCAUUAAAGU